CCUACGGGAGACUGCAGUGGGGAAUAUUGGGCAAUGGGCGCAAGCCUGACCCAGCAACGCCGCGUGAAGGAAGAAGGCUUUCGGGUUGUAAACUUCUUUUAAGAGGGAAGAGCAGAAGACGGUACCUCUUGAAUAAGCCACGGCUAACUACGUGCCAGCAGCCGCGGUAAUACGUAGGGGGCAAGCGUUGUCCGGAUUUACGGGGUGUAAAGGGCGUGCAGCCGGGAAGACAAGUCAGAUGUGAAAUCCCGCGGCUCAACCGCGGAACGGCCUUUGAAACUGUUUUUCUUGAGUACCGGAGAGGUCAUCGGCCUUCCUUGUGUAGCGGUGCACUGCGUAGAUCUCCGG
RNAcentral lists this ribosomal RNA (348 nucleotides) under uncultured bacterium. RNAcentral's name for it is "partial 16S ribosomal RNA". It matches the Rfam family "Bacterial small subunit ribosomal RNA", at positions 338 to 701 of the family's 1533-position model. The record is from RNAcentral.